GCUGCAUGGCUGUCGUCAGCUCGUGUCGUGAGAUGUGGUUAAGUCCGCAACGAGCGCAACCCUUGUCUUUAGUUUGCCAUCAUUAAGUUGGGCACUCUAAAGAGACUGCCGGUGGUCAAACCGGAGGAAGGUGGGGAUGACGUCAAGUCCUCAUGGCCUUUAUGACCAGGGCUACACACGUACUACAAUGGCAGGUACAAAGGGCAGCCACUUAGCGAUAAGGCGCGAAUCCCGUAAAACCUGUCUCAGUCCGGAUUGGAGUCUGCAACUCGACUCCAUGAAGUUGGAAUCGCUAGUAAUCGCAGAUCAGCACGCUGCGGUGAAUACGUUCCCGGGCCUU
This 340-nucleotide ribosomal RNA is filed under the name uncultured Desulfocapsa sp. Its description in RNAcentral is "bacterial SSU rRNA". It matches the Rfam family "Bacterial small subunit ribosomal RNA", at positions 1040 to 1382 of the family's 1533-position model. Lineage: Bacteria; Pseudomonadati; Thermodesulfobacteriota; Desulfobulbia; Desulfobulbales; Desulfocapsaceae. The record is from RNAcentral.